Molecule: long non-coding RNA, 3258 nt
Organism: Pan troglodytes (chimpanzee)
Lineage: Eukaryota; Metazoa; Chordata; Mammalia; Primates; Hominidae
Exons: 5
Source: RefSeq, a predicted model, not a curated record
GCAGUGCGCCGAGAUCGCGCCAUUGCACUCCAGCCUGGGCGACAGAGGGAGACUCCGUCUCAAACAACAACAACAACAACAAACUCACAGAUACGUAGAGAAGAGACUACGCAAGGACAUAGUGAGAGGGCAGCCAUCUGCGAGCCACAAACAGAGGCCUCACCAGAAACCAACCCUGCAGGCACCUUGAUCUUGGACUUCCAGCUUGCAGACUGUGAGAAUAUACAUUUCUGUUGGUAUGAAUUCCAGUAAAACCUUGAACAGAAGUGGUGAUGGCAGAAUUCAUAUCAACAAUGCGAGUCUAGAAAAUGCUCAAGGGACAUGAAGGAGAAGAUAGCAUUUUACAGACUCCUAUGAAAGGACACCUUUUAAUCUCUCUCCCCAUUACACUUAGGUGAGUAGUUGAUAUGAAGAUGGACAAAAUUAAAAUUUAAAAAUGUUUGAAUAGCUAUUUGACAAUCAUGAUAUGUAAUACACUCACUAUAAUUAAAAAACACACUCUGUAAUAAACUGCCAAAAUGUUUAUUAUGAAUAAUAAAAAGUAACAGAGGCACCGAUCAAUUCCUAUUGCUACCAAAUCUUUCUGAAGAGGGAAAUGACAAAUUUCUGAAAUCUCUUCACUUCUAAUGCUUUAAAAUUGAGCUUUAAAAAAAAGUUUUGGCUGGGUGAUGUGGCUCACAUCUGUAAUCCCAGCACUUUGGGAAGAUGAGGCAGGAGAAUCUCUUGACCUCAGGAGUUCAAGUUUACAGUGAGCUGUGAUCAUGCUACUGCACUCCGGCUUGGAGGUAUAAUUGGUACACAAGGAACCAAACCUAUCAAUGUGUACAAUUUGAUGAGUUUGAACAUAUGUAAACACCCGUGAUAUCAUUACCACAGUCAAGGUAACAGACAUACACAAACCUCCCAAUGUUUCCUUUUAUCUCUUUGCUUGGGUGUGUGUGUGUUAAGAACACUUAAUAUGAGAUCUAAUUUCUUAACAAAUUACGAUGUGCACAGUACCAAACUGUUAACUAUAAGUGCUGUUUAUACAGCAGAUCUCUAAAACUCAUUUGUCCAGCAUAACUAAGACUUUAUACCCUUUGAAUAAUAACCCCUCAUUUUUCCCACUUGCCAGCCCCUGCAACUGUUGCUUCAAUGAGUUUGACUAUUUUAAAUACCACAUAUAAGUAGAAUCAAGCAAUAUUAAGUGUGGGCAAGGUGAGGUAACAGAGAAAUUGGAACUCUUGUAGAAUGUUGGUGAUGGGAAUGUAAAAUGGUGCAGUUGCUAUGAAAAUAGUAUGAAAAUUCCUCAAAAUAUUUAAAAUAAAAUGACUAUGUAUUCCAGCAAUCCCACUUCUAGGUAUCUAUCUGAAAGAAUUAAGAUUUGGACUGAAAGAGAUAAUCUGCACUUCCAUAUUCAUUCCAGAACUUUUCACAAUAGCCAAGAUUUAGAAACAAACCAACUGUCCAUCGGCAGAUAAAUGGAUUUUUUAAAAAUGUGGUAUAUACAUAAAAUGGAAUAUUAUUCAGUUUUUAAAAAGAAGGAAAUCCAGCCAUUUGCCCCAACAUGGAUGAACCUGAAGGACAUUUGCUAAAUAAACUGAGCUUGGAAAACAUACGUUUCUUCUGCCUAAAUAACAAUGGAAUAGUGAAACCUCUAAAUAAUCUAAGGGAGUUCAGUCCACCCUCAUCCUCCAUUCUUUUUAUAAGAUGGUGAAAAGGGACCUGCUCAACUGUCAGACGUAGAACAUUGUUCAGAAAGACAUUUGCUUUAGCAUCUGCCUUUGAAACACUGAAGGAUCCCCAAACUCAUUGUCAAAGAAAAAAAACAAAACAGGAAGGGAGGUUAUACUGUUUCCCACUGUGAAAACAUUUCCCAAAUAAAAUAUUAAGCACUUGAGUGUCAUUAUGGAUUAAUCUUUAAUGACAUUUUUCUGAGCACUGUGAUGACCUGGAAUGAAUCUGUAAUAACAUGACCUGGUGAUCCCAUAGGCAUGGGACCUUUGAGAUCUACACAAGAUUAAUAACCAGAGGAUGGUCCCAAGGGGUCUAUCAAAAUAUCCAUUACAGCGAUUAUUUGAUACCCUAUGUAAUACUGCAUUUUUAACAAAUAAUGUCCAGUGUAUUUUGUGUUUCCCAUGAGAUCUGUGUCCACACUGUUAGGAAGUAGACUUUAAUACUAUGAAUUAAACUAACAGUCUUUAUUUGCAAUCCUGUUAUCCAUUUGAAACUCACAUGGAAACUUUCUCACACAGGGGAGAAACAGACUUUUGUAUUAAAGAUUCCUUUAAUCUUGGUUGAUUUUUAUUAAAAAUGUCUUCAUGUCUGCCCUUAACAAUUUUCAUUGUUCUAUGCACUUUUUUUUGAGUUUUCAAAUUUGAUAUUUUAAUGAAUCUCAACUGUUCUUAAAAUAGUCUUAUUACUUAACUUUUUUUGCUUUUAUAUUUACUUAUAUGCUGCUGCUCUUUUGAAUUUAGUCUAUUUCCUAGGUAGCAUUCAUAACUCAUGGCCACAUACUUGUUUCUGAAUGAAAUGUUUUCAUUUUUACUUUACUUCCACAAUGAAAUGUUUUCAUUUUUACUUUAUUUCUUGCAACCCACAUGCUCUUUUCUCCUUUUAGCUUAUUCACCUUAUUAUUUUUCUAUGAGUUGCCAUGUGGUUGUGAUAAAGUUCAAUUUCUUUACUUUUUAAUUUUGCUGGUAAUUUACCACUUAAUUCAAACAUAUCUUGAGCAAUUAUGGUCUCAUAUACCUAAAUUUGCUUUAUAUUUUUUCUUCUGGUAUCUGAGCAAGUUAAAAACGACUAAGAUUUUCUUAUUUCCAUGAAAAGUAAACAUUUAGGAAAUGUGUAUAAUUAUCACCAUAUUAGUUUGCAUGCCAAAGAAGUGAGAGCUUUGGGUAUGAAAACUAUAAUCAUAAAAAAGAUACAGAAAUAAUAUUAAAAGCAUAUAAACUUCAUUUUUCAGACUUUGAGAUUAGCAUGCUUCAUUUGUAUGGAGCUUUGGAUAUAAAGAUUGCUCUGUCAAACUCAAUUUUAUUGUUUAAACUCUUUAGUUUUUUAUGUUUAUAUCACUCGUUAUGAUGUUUUCUAAACUACUGACACAUAUACACACACACAUAUAUAUAUUUAAGUAUAAAUAUUUACCCUUAAGUUCACUCAUCAGUUAUUCUGCCUCCAUUACAUUCUCAUAUAAAUGCAGAUCUUGUUUCUACAACUCUGUAUUUUUCAGACAUGUAAAAUGCCCAUUCAUAACCAGCUUCAAUCACUAGGUUGUAGGAU